UCAGUCAGUUACGCGUCAUUGUUCAGUGAAGCCGCAAGUGAUAAAGUUGGUUUUAAUAGCGAAGUGAUAACAAAAUGAAUUUUUAUUUCAUUAACGUGAUUUUAUUUUUAAUCACCUUGCUGAUUGUUGGUUCAAAAGAAGUGGAAUCAAGGAGUGUUGAACGUCAUAGGUGUCGCUACGACUGUCUGUCAUACUGCCAGACAAGUGGGAAGAGCGAUGGAUACUGCGGUCAUAGGUCUUGUAUAUGUCGACAGUCUAUACAACCAAAGAUGUGAUCUUCAUCAAUGCUACAUCAAAAAUUAUUGACCGUCAUAGGCGCUACGAUGACAGUCUGUCCUAUACUUAAGCCCGUGGUGUUAUAGCAGGACAUAAUAUGUCAAUAGCGUCAUGGAUACUGCAGUGGUCUAAGAGCCUGUAUAUGUUGAGAAUCUGUAAAACUACGGUAAUUUUGGAGACCACCAAACUCUAUUAAGGAGUUUUUAUAAAGUCUGUUUUAUUGUCAGACCAAAAUAACAGAUGUUUUAUGUAUUACUUGUUAAUUUUUAUGAAAUAUCUUAAAUUGUUCUGUA
Pararge aegeria (speckled wood butterfly) is the source of this 569-nucleotide long non-coding RNA. RefSeq lists it as uncharacterized. The record is from RefSeq and is a predicted model, not a curated record. The transcript is spliced from 2 exons. NCBI's taxonomy places the organism in Eukaryota, Metazoa, Arthropoda, Insecta, Lepidoptera, Nymphalidae.